UCCCUGAUGGUCCAGUGGCCAGCACUCCACACUCCCAAUGCAGGGGGCCUAGGUUCAAGCCUUGGUCAGGGAA
Molecule: transfer RNA, 73 nt
Filed under: Capra hircus (goat)
Lineage: Eukaryota; Metazoa; Chordata; Mammalia; Artiodactyla; Bovidae
Also listed under: 1 other name
Rfam family: tRNA
About the family: Transfer RNA (tRNA) molecules are approximately 80 nucleotides in length. Their secondary structure includes four short double-helical elements and three loops (D, anti-codon, and T loops).
Source: Rfam by way of RNAcentral